AUGUACUCAAGUUUGCUUUGUUUAAUUAAAGCAGUUGUGCUGGGAGUGACUUUGGAUCAAGGUCCAAAGGUUGUGGUUAAAGGAGUGGGCAAAACUAUUUAUCUGCAAUGCAAGGUAAAGGAUCUGGGCUCUUCAGACUAUAUCCACUGGUACCAAGUUAAAGACAAAGAAGCCCCAACAAGGCUACUCUACAUCAGUAAAGGAGGUAGUGUUGCUCGUGAUACCAGCGCUGAUGCAGCUGACUUCACAGUGGACAAAGCAAAGCUUUAUGAUCUAAAACUGAGUAAUUCUCAGCCAAAACAUUCUGCUGUUUAUUUCUGCGCCUACUGGGACAGAAGCAGCGGCCACAGUGAGAAGAUUUACUCACAUCCUGUACAUGAACUAUACUGCAUGGCACUUCGGCUCAGAAAGGACUGUUUCCUGAAAACUUUACACAGCGUCUGGAGUAAAUGACCUUCGGUGUGUUGUGAGAAGGCACAUGGAUCUGGACGUCUGCUGACCGAGCCACUCACUAUAAAGUCUAAAGUACUGAUGACAUCUGAACUAUCAGACUAGACAAACACCACAUAAGAGGAAAUAACACCAUCGACUAAACGAAGCAAGAGGAGACAAAAAUACUGUACCUACUCUGAGCAUAAAGAAAAUAACCAAGCAUGAUGUGAUAGUAUGGUCAACCUUUUCUCAGAAAACCAAGAUCAAAUCCCUGUUUUAUGUUUGUUUACCUGUGAGCAGCAACGAAUUGAUGUGUGCUUUGUUGGAACUCUGGUGAAAAAAUAUGCAAUAUAUGUCAUUGGUUGAUAGAGUUAUCAUUGUCUUCAUUGUUUGGUUCUGAGACAAAAAAUUGCAUCACUGUGUUAGUAUAGUUAGCUUCACUGUAGAGCAUUUCUGUGAUGUACAUAUCUGUGCUAAUUUAACUGUAAAGUGAAUAAAGAAUAGUUCAUAUGAGUCGUGGUUUAUUUUCACGAAAGGAAACAGCAUCAGUAUAAAUAUUAUGUAUACAUACUGGUUAUAGGCCUACAAAUUAAAUAUCCUGUGAGGUACAAUCACUGGUCAGGUUAGAGCAUUUAAAAGAACUUUCAGUGUAGUUAAAGGGAUAGUUCAACGUCACUUGCUGGUCCCCACGGACUUACACAGGGGUUUUUCCCCCCUCCAUACUAUGAAAGUCGAUGGGGACCAGCAACUGAAGGUGAGCCAUCCCUUUAAGUACAGUGCCAAUUUUACAUGUGUUUUGUAAUGACACGCAAAUAACGCAAGGGGGAGACAUUCAUCUUAUUUUCUCAGUUGGACAAAGUGUGUGCGAGUUAGACUUUUUAUUUUAUUAUAUUAUUAUAUUUAUUUUAUUAUAUAAGAAAUGUUAUUUAUUUUUCAGAAAACAUUUUAAAAAAAAACUAAAAUUAUUUGAGAUUUUGGGAAUCAAAAUUAAAAUCGAUGGAGCAGCACGAGCGUAACCCAGUAUCUCUACAUUCACUGCUCUGUUCUCCAAUCCCAGUGAGCAAACACUAUUUGACAAAUAAUCCAAUUAUUUGCAGAUCAUUCAGUAUAUAGUCACACUUCAGACUUCAGUUUAACAGUAAAUAAGCAUUGCCUUCUGCCCUAUUCUGUUAACCCUUUGUUUCAUCCUUAUAGAUUUGGCAUUUCAAUUGUGGUUUAGAAAUGGAAUCAAUUUGUUAAGGACCUUUUCAAAGAUGGCAUUUUUUUUUCAAUCCAACAGGAAAGAACAGACUUUGAGAUCCCUCAGUCCAAUUUUUUUUAGGUAGUGCCAGGUAACCACAUAUAAAAUAUUGCCUUUUCCUUAUUAUUGGCUAGACGCCUCAUUCUUCUCGGAUGGAAAAGUCAAGGCCACCUCUUCAGAAACUUUUGGAAAGUUCUACAGGGUCUAGCAGCCCUUCUUAUCCUCGUGGGCUAAUAUAUUAUACUGAACCAUACUGUGUUUUUUUGGCUGUUGCUAAAAAUAUACCCCAGCGACUUAAGACUUCAUGGGUGACAGGGUCACAUAUGUAUGUAGUUAUGUGUGUUUGGUGUGGAAUAUGGGAAUAUGUGAGUUAAAAGAAAGUUGCAUAUGUUUGUGUGGUUGUGAAUGUUGCAUAUUAAUGAAAAUCAAUAAAAAAUACUUUAAUAAUAAUGUCUAUUGAUACUGUAUACUAGCUUAUUUAAAACAUCUGGCCUGUCAGUUUAAUUUUUCACUUAUUUUCUCAGCUUUCUUGUUUUCCGAUAUAGUCUGAAGAGCCCUCAUACUUGCAGGGCAGAUAUAUAGUUUUGCCCACUCCUUUAACCAAAACCUUUGGACCUUGAUCCAAAUCCACUCCCAGCACAACUACUUUAAUUAUAAUGUGAUAAUGUGACAAUAAUUUCAUUUAAAAUAAAAGGCUCCUGCUAAAUUUGCUUAAACAUGGUUUCUAAGGUAACUCCAUAUCAGGAAAUGACAUCAGCAACCCAUUUUUGAAGUUCAUACAAAAGCAGUGUGUAACCUCAAAGACAGCUUUACACCAAUUAUACACAUUUUUCACCAGAUGAAUGAUGUUUUUUAUACAUUUCUAUUGUCCUCCUCUUAGAGGUGCCAGGUAAGUGACAUUUAUAAUAAUAAUAAUAAUAAUAAUAAUAAUAAUAAUAAUAAUAAUAAUAAUAAUAAUAAUAAUAAUAAUAACAUUAUUUAAAUGUACUCAAGUUUGCUUUUUUUAAUUAAAGCAGUUGUGCUGGGAGUGGAUUUGGAUCAAGGUCCAAAGGUUGUGGUUAAAGGAGUGGGCAAAACAAUAUAUCUGCAAUGCAAAGUGGAUGGUCUGAGUGAUUCAGACUAUAUCCACUGGUACCAAGUUAAAGACAAAGAAGCCCCAACGAGGCUACUCUACAUCAGUAAAGGAGGUAGUGUUGCUCGUGAUACCAGCGCUGGAGAUGCAACUGACUUCACAGUGGACAAAGCAAAGCUUUAUGAUCUAAAACUGAGUAAGAUUCAGCCGAAACAUUCUGCUGUUUAUUUCUGCGCCUACUGGGACACAAGCAGCGGCCACAGUGAGAAGAUUUACUCACAUCCUGUACAUAAACUAUACUGGUAAUGUUAUUACCAAUAUUUAUACUUAAAUUGCAAUUUUCUGUUUAAAUGGUUAAUUUGACAAACUUUAUAUGCACAUGCUGGCUGGAUGAUGGUAUUUUGAUCUGUUUAGAUUGGAAUUAUUAUUGUCCUGGUGUUCAUAGAGACAUUGUACAUGUUUGAAUGAUUUUGUUUUUACACACUGUAUUUAUAUUUGUUAUUUUGGAAUAUAUCAAGUGUAUCUUAAAUGUUAUGUGUAUUUCAAUUUUUUUUUUAAUAAAAUGUGUAAUUAUGGGUUUGUUUUAUAUUCAGUUUGAUGAAGCACUUGUUUGAAUAGGGUCAGGGUUAUUAAAGUUAGGCCAACUAAAAAAUAGAACUAAGAAAUAUUUAUGAAUAUUUGUUCCUUGAAAUACUUUUUUAUAGGAAAUUAUGAUCCGCACUCACGAGAACGGUCUUCUUUUUAAAUUUUAUUUUACAUUCAUCACUGAUGGGAAAGACAACUUCCUUAAAAUACUUGAAAAUUAAACAACAGAAUAAAAUACAAUCUAAAAAACACAGACUUACUUUGUUA
This 3596-nucleotide long non-coding RNA is filed under the name Carassius auratus (goldfish). RNAcentral describes it as "lncRNA (ENSCARG00000001109.1)". The record is from RNAcentral. Lineage: Eukaryota; Metazoa; Chordata; Actinopteri; Cypriniformes; Cyprinidae.